This is a long non-coding RNA of Homo sapiens (human), 643 nucleotides long. Ensembl annotates it as long intergenic non-protein coding RNA 1531. The record is from Ensembl. Lineage: Eukaryota; Metazoa; Chordata; Mammalia; Primates; Hominidae.
ACAUUUGGAAGCUCCUGCAGAUGCUGAAUAACUGACCUCCAGCCUCUGUUCCACCAGCCACAACUACAGCUUUGAUUGGAGAAGAGACUGAUUUCAGCCACUUUCUCCUGUACAUGUCAGGGCCUGAUCUACAUUGGCAUACGUGGACCUGCCUCGUUCUUUGUAACAGGUAUAAAAGCCUGCCGUUGGUGGAAAAGGAAAAGGUGGUCCAGUUAGACAAGAUGCCACCGGCUUCUGAAACCAGACAUCUUUGAAAACCCACCCAUCUACCUGCAGGAAAAGAGACAGGGUUUCACUAUGUUGGCCAGGAUGUUCAACAACUUCUGCCUUCAAGCGAUCUUCCCUCCUGGGCCUCCCCAAGUGCUGAGUUUACAAGCAUCAGCCACCACACCCAGCCUAUGACAUUUUCUUCAUUAUGGCUGGUACUGCCUCAUGAAAAGGGGGUUCCUCAUGCUGGAUCUGAACAACCCAGCACAGGCAAGUCUGGGGAGCAAGGCAGGAGCCUGCAUGUGGACUCAAAGGACCGGCACCCGAAACAAAGCAGUGGCUGGCACAGGUGGACAAACCAGGCAAGAAAAGCAACUGUCCUUCGGAGCAGAGUCCACGUGAUGGGAAGAAACAGGUCAUGAUACUUUUGAGUGGU